GGAAGCAAAGGCUGUGUGAAGACAAAGUAGUGAAGGGGUUUUCCAUGUGAAAAACAAAGAAAGAAUUAUUUGAAUAUUAGCAAAUCCACAACUUCACAUUUCUAGAGAACCCAGGCACAGCCUUGGAGACAUUACUCCUGAGAGACUGCAUUUGUUGGAAGAUGAGCCCCAACUUCUAAAAAUGUAUCACUACCAGGAUUGAGAUACAAACAGCAUUUAGGAAGGUAGCCACGUUCACAUUUUCAGAGCCCAAAGCAAGAUAUGUUACUAAGCUCUUCUUCCCUUUUCUAAUUCUUGCAGGUCUGAUCUGAGUAGCAGCUUCCUGCCCUCCUUCCUGGAGAUAAGUCCGGCUUUUGGUGAGAAAGACUUUCCCUGCCCUCUGCCCGGCCGAUGCCCAUGCUUCUGUGGCUGCUGCUGCUGAUCCUGAGUGAACAGAUGGACUAUAAUGGGACCAGGGCCUCCGUUCCUAAAGCUCCUAGAAGAGAACAAUCAGGGGUAGCUCCAAAAGCUGUACUUCUCCUUGAUCCUCCAUGGUCCACAGCCUUCAAAGGAGAAAAAGUGACUCUCACAUGCAGGGGAAUAUCACAGUCCCCAGCCCGCGGAGACACGUUUUGGUAUCGCGAUGAGAAGCUAUGGAAAAUACAACAUAACGCGAUCCAAAUUAGGGGGUCUGGAAAUUACCAAUGCAAGACCCAAGGAUCCUCCCUCAGUGAUGCUGUGCAUGUGGAAUUUUCACAUGACUUGCUGAUCCUGCAGGCUUCGCAUCCUGUCUUUGAAGGAGAUAAUGUCACCCUGAGAUGUCAGGUGAAAGAAGAUGAAAAAGCUCAUGAAAAGGUUUACUACAAAGAUGGAAAACAGCUUCCUAAUAGUUAUAAUUUAGACUUCAUCAUAGUGAAUUCAGUCUCCAGGGAUAAUAGCAAAUAUUAUUGUACUGCUACUUGGAGGAUACUUUCCAUAGUACCAAUUAAACGAACUUCAAAAAGCCUAAAUAUCCAAGUUCAAGAGCUGUUUCUACAUCCUGUGCUGAGAGUCAGCUCUUCCACGCCCAUAGAGGGGAGUCCCAUGACCCUGAUCUGUGAGACCCAGCUCUCUCCACAGAGGCCAAAAGUCCAGCUGCAAUUCUCCUUCUUCAGAGAUAGUCAGACCCUCGGAUCAGGCUGGAGCACAUCCCCCAAACUCCAGAUCCCUGCCAUGUGGACUGAAGACUCUGGGUCUUACUGGUGUGAGACAGAGACAGUGACUCACAACAUCAAAAAAAGGAGCCUGACAUCUCAGAUACUUGUACAGAGUGUGCCUGUAUCUAAUGUGAAUCUAGAGAUCCAGCCCACCGGAGGGCAGCUGAUUGAAGGAGAAAAUAUGGUCCUUAUUUGCUCAGUAGCCCAGGGUUCAGGGACUGUCACAUUCUCCUGGCACAAAGAAGGAAGAGUAAGAAGCCUGGGUAGAAAGACCCAGCGUUCCCUGUUGGCAGAGCUGCAUGUUCUCAUGGUAAAGGAGAGCGACGCAGGGAGAUACUACUGUGCAGCUGACAACGUUCACGGCCCCAUCCUCAGCAGGCGGAUUCAAGUCACUGUGAGAAUUCCGGUAUCUCACCCCAUCCUCACCUUCAGGGCCCCCAGGGUCCAGGCUCUGGUGGGGGACCUACUGGAGCUUCACUGUGAGUCCCUGAGAGGCUCUCCCCCGAUCCUGUACCGAUUUUAUCAUGAGGAUGUCACCCUGGGGAACAGCUCAGCCGCCUCUGGAGGAGGAGCCUCCUUCAACCUCUCUCUGACUACAGAACAUUCUGGAAACUACUCCUGUGAUGCAGACAAUGGCCUGGGGGCCCAGCACAGUCAUGGAGUGAGUCUCAGGGUCACAGUUCCGGUGUCUCGUCCCAUCCUCACCCUCAGGGCUCCUGGGGCCCAGGCUGUGGUGGGGGACGUGUUGGAGCUUCACUGUGAGUCCCUGAGAGGUUCCUUCCCGAUCCUGUACUGGUUUUAUCACGAGGAUGACACCUUGGGGAAGAGCUCGGCCCACUCUGGAGGAGGGGCAUCCUUCAACCUCUCUCUGACUACAGAACAUUCUGGCAACUACUCAUGUGAGGCUGACAAUGGCCUGGGGGCCCAGCGCAGUGAAGUGGUGACAUUCAGUGUUACAGCUCCCUCCACUCAGGAACUUCCAGGAACAGAACAGGCCUUACCACUGCGGGAGUCACGGGGCUGGUGCUCAGCAUCCUCAGCCUUGCUGCUGCUGCUGCUGCUCUGCUGCACUACGCCAGGGCCCAAAGGAAACCAGGAGGACUUUCUGCCACUGGAACAUCUAGUCACAGUCCUAGUGAGUGCCAGGAGCCUUCCUCGUCCAGGCCUUCCAGGAUAGACCUUCAAGAGCCCACCCACUCUAAACCACUAGCCCCAGUGGAGCUGGAGCCAAUGUACAGCAACGUAAAUCCUGGAGAUAGCAACCUGAUUUAUUCCCACAUCUGGAGCAUCCAACACACAAAAGAAAAUUCAGCUAAUUGUCCAACGAUGCAUCAAGAGCAUAAGGAACUCACAGUCCUCUAUUCAGAACUGAAGAAGAAAUACCCAGAUGACUCUGCAGGGGAGGAUUGCAGCAGAGGCAGGGCCCAUGAAGAUGAUGAAGAAAAUUAUGAGAAUAUGCCACGUGCAUUACUGGCCUCAGACCACUAGCCCCUUACCCAGAGUGGCCCACAGGAAACAGCCUGCACCAUUUUUUUUUCUGUUCUCUCCAACCACACAUCAUCAAUCUCUCCAGACUGCCUCCUACGAGGCUGGGCUGCAGGGGAUGGGAGGCUGCGCAAAAGAUCUGCAAAUCUCCUCUGUGCCUGAGUCUGUGUGUUCCCUAGGAAAAGAGUGGGCAGCCUCUGAGCAAGCACUGUGUUAUUUUCACAGUGGAGACACAUGGCAAGGCAGGAAGGCCCUCAGCUCCUAGGGCUGUCGAAUAGAGGAGGAGAGAGAAAUGGUCUGGCCAGGGUUACAAAGGCACAAUCAUGACCAUUUGAUCCAAGUGUGAUUGAAAGUUGUUAAUGUUCUCUCUGUAUAAACAAUUUGCUCCAAAUAUUGUUUCCUUUUUUGUGUGUGUGGCUGGUAGUGGCAUUGCUGAUGUUUUGGUAUAUAUGCUGUAUCCUUGCUACCAUAUUGGGAACAGCCAUAAGAAGUUAUAGAACAAGAUUUUAAGGUGACUCUAUCUGAAGUGGAUUUUUGUACUUACAGGGUGACAUUCCCAACCAAAUUACCCUUAGUUAUAAUGAAAAAUAACCUCAGCAUUUCAUUAAAGGCUCUGCUAGUUUAAUAUGUGACCUCUAUCCCUACUACAAAGACCUUAUGUGUAAAAAAUCACAUUAAUUGUAAUUUUUGCUACAUGACAUAGUCUCAUCAUUUUCCAUACAUGAUAGAUUUCUAGUCAGUCAGUUUUAUUCUUAUAAGUACCCAUUAACCCCGAGACAAUAACCUACUAUAUCUAUGUGGCUUCUCCCAUUCUCUUCCUCUACCUCACUCCAUCUGCUAAAAAACCAUUCUAAAUCUCAUGUUCAUUAUUCCCAUGCUUUCCUAAUUCUAUCAUAUUAAUGUAACUAUAUGUUUUCCUUAAUAUGUUUUUAUAUUAGUUUUAACUAUAAGUUAAAGACCAUAUUGUUGUAGAUAAUAUUUUUGGUAUUUUCUCUUCGUGUUCUAUUUCUAAGAUUCAUCCAUAUGGUUGCAUGUUGCUAUAGUUCAUUUGUUUUUAUUGCGGUUUAGUAUUUACUUGUGUAAAAUAUCUGUUUUAAUGUUUUCCUAGCUAUCACUGUCAAAAACUCUUUCCACAGUGUCUUGAAUUUUUAAUGUGACAAAAAUGAAAAUGUACCAACAAUUUUUAGUGACUUCACCUCCAUUCUGAAAUCCUGAUGUUUCCAAAUAUCUCUGAACACCUCAAGUCAUAGGGACAACUGAGAUUAUAUUAACAUUAAUCUCUGAAUGUUGUUAAUUCUAAGCCUUCACUUGGUUCAUGUAGGAACACCAAGUCCUUUCAAAGCACCACAUCUUUCUCUAAUCAAUAUUCCUUGGAGUCCCUAAGGAAUGUCUUACAAGCAUUCAACCAAUCACCAUUUCUGGAGAUACACUACAGGGUCACCAUAAACUCUACUACCCUUGGAUUCCAUCACUAUAGAAGCUGAGUUUCACCAGAAGGCACUUUUGUCCUCCAUUACUACCAGCAAAGCCAGCUAAGCCACAGCUGCUGGCCUCAAAAAAUGUGAUGAUCAAUCCACACUGCUCCCACUGGCCUCUCUUACCCUUAUCCUGGCCUUUGAGAGCAGGGCACGAUGUCCUGCCUAUACUGAGGUGCUGAUCUCUGCCAGUUCGUGUUCAUAUUGGCAUUAAAAUUUUAAGUUCCCUUGAAGAGGGAGGAGGCAAAUGUCUCUGUCUUCUAUGUGAUACACUCUGCUGUUUUUUUCUCUAUGGUAAAAAUAUAUAAACAGGUUUGUGUACUAACCACCAGACUGUACAUGGAGGCUCUCCUCCUCUCACACCUUGCUGCUGAUUUGGAAUUACCUUGCCAGGUCCCUUUGUGCCUUAUAGUGAACUUUCUCUAAGGGACCUCUCAUCUUUUAUCAUUGUUUAUCCAUUUUCUAGAUUUUUAAUCCAGGAAAGGACAAAGUUCAAGAUUUUCCAUGUCUUUGUAACACUUAACCCUGUUCAAAUCAGAGUAUGUGAGUGGAAAGAGGAGUGAGUCCUAACUGUACAUUUCAGAUAUAACAAAAGUGCAAAUUCUGAUUGCCCUGUAAAAUGAAUUAUUCUCAUGCAUUGCUCUACUUGACUUUUCCCUUUGAAUUCACAACUAAAAACCCAUAGCCCAGAAAUCUAAAAAACAGUAAUUUUAAUGGAGCCUUUGAAAAUAAAAGACCAUUGGAAAAAG
RNA transcript from Macaca mulatta (Rhesus monkey), 4884 nucleotides. It is a transcript of the gene named Fc receptor like 3, with no coding region annotated. Lineage: Eukaryota; Metazoa; Chordata; Mammalia; Primates; Cercopithecidae. The record is from RefSeq and is a predicted model, not a curated record.